RNAcentral lists this long non-coding RNA (765 nucleotides) under Chinchilla lanigera (long-tailed chinchilla). RNAcentral's name for it is "lncRNA (ENSCLAG00000024327.1)". Lineage: Eukaryota; Metazoa; Chordata; Mammalia; Rodentia; Chinchillidae. The record is from RNAcentral.
CAGUACUGCCGGAUCGUCACAUUUAUUCAUUUAUUCUCCUGUUUUUUCUGAUAAUUACUGAGUGGCUUACUUAGACGCUAGGGAAGAGCGGAUCGCCUGUUUGAAUAGGCGUUUGUAAAACUCCCUUAUGUAUGGGGCGCAGUUUACAGCGUUCGCAUUUGUAAUACAUUUCAUUGAUGUCCGCAGUAAAUUCCUAGUCUCCCAUUAUGUUGGUCCCGGUCCUUCUUUGUAGGUGCCUGGGGACGGACUGAGGAACCUGACCUCUGGAUGCCGACCGAGGGGGAGGGGUCUGAACUUGCACACACCCGGGUCUCUCCGCUCCCUGCUCCGCUCCAGCUGCCGGCCGGUCACUGCAGGCUGCGACGGAAACCUAAGGUCGUGCGGAACUUUGGCAACUUUCAGAUACCUGCGUCCCAGAGUUCUGUAACUCACAUUCAUCCAGCGCUCACCCUAAGCCAGCAACCCUGCAGCUGAAGGCAUGGCACCCAACACGUGGGAGGCUGAGGCAGGAGGAUUGCUGCAAGAUCAACCAGGGCUGCAAAGUGAGUUCAAGGCCAACCUACUGCAUGGUGAAACCCUGCAGACAAAAAUUAAAAAGAAAAAUUAAAAAGAUUGACUUAUCUGUAUAACGAGAUAGUAUUACUUGGGGAGUAAUUUCUCAUGUGAAUAUAGAGAAGCUCAAUAAGAAAAUUAAUUUGGAAUAGGUUUUUCAACUAUAUAAAGGUCUGUGUGAUUAGUUUUAAUAACAGCAAUAAUUGUUUGUUG